GUGCUGGCUUUGGCGGCACACAUACUGAAAUUGGAACAAUAUGGAGAAGACGAGCGUGGCCCCUGCACAAGGAUGCCAUGCACAUUCUCGAAACGUUCCUUACUGAA
Mustela putorius furo (domestic ferret) is the source of this 107-nucleotide small nuclear RNA. Lineage: Eukaryota; Metazoa; Chordata; Mammalia; Carnivora; Mustelidae. The record is from Ensembl.